UAUAAGGUCAGGAUAGCUCAG
This 21-nucleotide transfer RNA is filed under the name Anthoxanthum ovatum. RNAcentral's name for it is "partial tRNA-Phe". The record is from RNAcentral. Lineage: Eukaryota; Viridiplantae; Streptophyta; Magnoliopsida; Poales; Poaceae.